AUGUUGCAGCCCCUUCCUCUGCCAUUCCCGUGGCUCACCCUCCCAGACGGUACUUUCCUCAGCAUUCCAGGCAGUGAAAUUCACCGCAUACCUGUACCAGAAGGUGCUUGUUGCCAAGGCUCCAUUGACAACUGGCUAUUCCUCAUUGACAAUGGUAAUGUGUGCUCAUUGAUGAAUCCUUUCUCCAAGACUGCAUUAGAGCUUCCUAAUCUAGUGGCUGUUUGGGAGCGUGAGAUACGUUACCACUCUGACCGUAAACCAAUUUUCUAUAAGUUGGUGGUGCCCUCUCCCCUGGACUCAUCACCUCAUUCCCCUGUCGUUGCACUAAUCAUGGACGAUGGUUGUUUCCAUACACUCUGUAUUAGCCAGCCACCGAUCGCCACUGCCUCGCUCAGAGAUAAUAAGGAUCCACGACUGUUCCUCAGUGAUGUUGUAUUCUUCAACGGGAAGUUGUACGCAUGGGGUCGCUUCGGCCAGCUAUUCAUCGUUGAUUUGGAUAAUGACCGUACCAUUUCAUCCAUCAGCUGCAUAAUUGACUCUUUGGGUGACAUAGGUGGAACACCUCAAGAUUUGUCCAUAGCAGAGGAGUACAUGGUCUUUGAGGCAGACCUGCACACCAGCCCCGGUCGAUGGAGAAAGGCCACUGAGUUGGGUGGCCAUGCGCUCUUUCUUGGCCAACAUGGCUCCAAGUGCCUGCCUGCUGUGGAAUGCAGUGGAUACCAUGAGGAUUGCAUCUACUUCAUGUGUGACUAUGUCUGGCCGACCUCUUCUGCGAAUCCUCUUUGCGACUCUGGAGUACACUCUCCUCCUGAAGGACGUGAACUGACCUCUUCAUUGGCCCAUUGGUGGCUACCAUGGCCCUCAGGCAAGAAAAUUCUCAACAAAUCUGUUCAAGCUUACGGGCCAUACUACUGCGCCGCCGGCGCCGACAAGGCGCUCGGGCGCGACAUCGUGGACGCACACUACAAGGCCUACCUCUACGCCGGGAUCAACAUCAGCGGUAUCAACAGGGAGGUCAUGCCCGGCCAGUGGGAGUUCCAAGUCGGGCCAUCCCAACCAGCACCAGUUUCUGUUGCUGCUACCGCCGGCGAUGCGGAGGAGUCUGCGGCGAUGGCUGGGGCGCAGUCUGCGAUGACCCCAGUGCCUGCGAAUGUCAUCCCUCGCCCAGUCAGUUCGGGAUCCUGCCGGAUCCAUGCGCACCGGUGCUCAUGCGGGACGGUAGAUGCAGCAGGGGCGCGUUGGAAGGUGGGCGGCGACGGCGACGUCAGAGUUGGUGGUGAAGGGUUCGCGCUGGGUGGUGGAGAUGGUGGCGGGGGCUGGGGGUUCUGGGGCGGCACCGGCGAGCUGGUGUGGGUGGGCGACGGUGAAUCCGAAUCGGUGGUUUCUUGGGGCGGCGGCGCCUUGGGUUGUCGGGGCGGCGGCGGCGGCGCGCGAGGUUAG
Molecule: ribosomal RNA, 1440 nt
Filed under: Triticum aestivum (bread wheat)
Lineage: Eukaryota; Viridiplantae; Streptophyta; Magnoliopsida; Poales; Poaceae
Description: partial small subunit ribosomal RNA
Source: RNAcentral